CCUCCUCUUCUUGAUAAGAGCUUGCACAUGGUCCUGGUCCUGGUCCCAGAAAUACAUGGAGGCAGAGGGAAGGGGCUCUGCCCUGGUAUCAGGUCUUUGGUGCCCAUGGUUUCCAGUCCCCUGGUUCUAUCCUCAAGUGAAGGGACAUGG
Eptesicus fuscus (big brown bat) is the source of this 150-nucleotide small nucleolar RNA. RefSeq annotates it as small nucleolar RNA SNORA57. The record is from RefSeq and is a predicted model, not a curated record. NCBI's taxonomy places the organism in Eukaryota, Metazoa, Chordata, Mammalia, Chiroptera, Vespertilionidae. The transcript has a single exon.